GACGAACGCUGGCGGCGUGCUUAACACAUGCAAGUCGAACGGAAAGGCCCUGCUUUUGUGGGGUGCUCGAGUGGCGAACGGGUGAGUAACACGUGAGUAACCUGCCCUUGACUUUGGGAUAACUUCAGGAAACUGGGGCUAAUACCGGAUAGGAGCUCCUGCUGCAUGGUGGGGGUUGGAAAGUUUCGGCGGUUGGGGAUGGACUCGCGGCUUAUCAGCUUGUUGGUGGGGUAGUGGCUUACCAAGGCUUUGACGGGUAGCCGGCCUGAGAGGGUGACCGGCCACAUUGGGACUGAGAUACGGCCCAGACUCCUACGGGAGGCAGCAGUGGGGAAUAUUGCACAAUGGGCGGAAGCCUGAUGCAGCAACGCCGCGUGCGGGAUGACGGCCUUCGGGUUGUAAACCGCUUUCGCCUGUGACGAAGCGUGAGUGACGGUAAUGGGUAAAGAAGCACCGGCUAACUACGUGCCAGCAGCCGCGGUGAUACGUAGGGUGCGAGCGUUGUCCGGAUUUAUUGGGCGUAAAGGGCUCGUAGGUGGUUGAUCGCGUCGGAAGUGUAAUCUUGGGGCUUAACCCUGAGCGUGCUUUCGAUACGGGUUGACUUGAGGAAGGUAGGGGAGAAUGGAAUUCCUGGUGGAGCGGUGGAAUGCGCAGAUAUCAGGAGGAACACCAGUGGCGAAGGCGGUUCUCUGGGCCUUUCCUGACGCUGAGGAGCGAAAGCGUGGGGAGCGAACAGGCUUAGAUACCCUGGUAGUCCACGCUGUAAACGGUGGGUACUAGGUGUGGGGUCCAUUCCACGGGUUCCGUGCCGUAGCUAACGCUUUAAGUACCCCGCCUGGGGAGUACGGCCGCAAGGCUAAAACUCAAAGGAAUUGACGGGGCCCCGCACAAGCGGCGGAGCAUGCGGAUUAAUUCGAUGCAACGCGUAGAACCUUACCUGGGUUUGACAUGGAUCGGGAGUGCUCAGAGAUGGGUGUGCCUCUUUUGGGGUCGGUUCACAGGUGGUGCAUGGCUGUCGUCAGCCCGUGUCGUGAGAUGUUGGGUUAAGUCCCGCAACGAGCGCAACCCUUGUUCACUGUUGCCAGCACGUUAUGGUGGGGACUCAGUGGAGACCGCCGGGGUCAACUCGGAGGAAGGUGGGGAUGACGUCAAGCCAUCAUGCCCCUUAUGUCCAGGGCUUCACGCAUGCUACAAUGGCUGGUACAGAGAGUGGCGAGCCUGUGAGGGUGAGCGAAUCUCGGAAAGCCGGUCUCAGUUCGGAUUGGGGUCUGCAACUCGACCUCAUGAAGUCGGAGUCGCUAGUAAUCGCAGAUCAGCAACGCUGCGGUGAAUACGUUCCCGGGGCU
RNAcentral lists this ribosomal RNA (1346 nucleotides) under uncultured bacterium. Its description in RNAcentral is "partial 16S ribosomal RNA". It matches the Rfam family "Bacterial small subunit ribosomal RNA", at positions 28 to 1381 of the family's 1533-position model. The record is from RNAcentral.